RNAcentral lists this ribosomal RNA (253 nucleotides) under uncultured bacterium. RNAcentral describes it as "partial 16S ribosomal RNA". It matches the Rfam family "Bacterial small subunit ribosomal RNA", at positions 524 to 776 of the family's 1533-position model. The record is from RNAcentral.
UACGUAGGGUGCAAGCGUUGUCCGGAAUUAUUGGGCGGAAAGAGCUCGUAGGCUGUCUGUCGCGUCGGCUGUGAAAUCCCGAGGCUCAACCUCGGGUCUGCAGUCGAUACGGGCAAACUGGAGUGUUGCAGGGGAGACUGGAAUUCCUGGUGUAGCGGUGAAAUGCGCAGAUAUCAGGAAGAACACCCGUGGCGAAGGCGGUUCUCUGGAACGCAACUGACGCUGAGACGCGAAAGCGUGGGGAGCAAACAGG